Molecule: ribosomal RNA, 579 nt
Filed under: uncultured Pseudonocardia sp.
Lineage: Bacteria; Bacillati; Actinomycetota; Actinomycetes; Pseudonocardiales; Pseudonocardiaceae
Description: bacterial SSU rRNA
Rfam family: Bacterial small subunit ribosomal RNA
Source: RNAcentral
GUAGUCCACGCCCUAAACGAUGUCUACUAGUUGUUGGUGGAGUAAAAUCCUUGAGUAACGCAGCUAACGCGUGAAGUAGACCGCCUGGGGAGUACGGUUGCAAGAUUAAAACUCAAAUGAAUUGACGGGGGCCCGCACAAGCGGUGGAUUAUGUGGAUUAAUUCGAUGCAACGCGAAGAACCUUACCUGGGUUUGACAUGCGCCAGACGCGUCUAGAGAUAGGCGUUCCCUUGUGGUUGGUGUGCAGGUGGUGCAUGGCUGUCGUCAGCUCGUGUCGUGAGAUGUUGGGUUAAGUCCCGCAACGAGCGCAACCCUCGUUCCAUGUUGCCAGCGGGUUAUGCCGGGGACUCAUGGGAGACUGCCGGGGUCAACUCGGAGGAAGGUGGGGAUGACGUCAAGUCAUCAUGCCCCUUAUGUCCAGGGCUUCACACAUGCUACAAUGGCUCAUACAGAGGGCUGCGAGACCGUGAGGUGGAGCGAAUCCCUUAAAGUGGGUCUCAGUUCGGAUCGGGGUCUGCAACUCGACCCCGUGAAGUUGGAGUCGCUAGUAAUCGCAGAUCAGCAAUGCUGCGGUGAAUA